Molecule: ribosomal RNA, 497 nt
Filed under: uncultured bacterium
Lineage: Bacteria
Description: partial 16S ribosomal RNA
Rfam family: Bacterial small subunit ribosomal RNA
Source: RNAcentral
GACGAACGCUGGCGGCGUGCCUAAUACAUGCAAGUAGAACGCUGAAGAGAGGAGCUUACUCUUCUUGGAUGAGUUGCGAACAGGUGAGUAACGCGUAGGUAACCUGCCUUGUAGCGGGGGAUAACUAUUGGAAACGAUAGCUAAUACCGCAUAACAAUGGAUGACACAUGUCAUUUAUUUGAAAGGGGCAAUUGCUCCACUACAAGAUGGACCUGCGUUGUAUUAGCUAGUAGGUGAGGUAAUGGCUCACCUAGGCGACGAUACAUAGCCGACCUGAGAGGGUGAUCGGCCACACUGGGACUGAGACACGGCCCAGACUCCUACGGGAGGCAGCAGUAGGGAAUCUUCGGCAAUGGGGGCAACCCUGACCGAGCAACGCCGCGUGAGUGAAGAAGGUUUUCGGAUCGUAAAGCUCUGUUGUAAGUCAAGAACGGGUGUGAGAGUGGAAAGUUCACACUGUGACGGUAGCUUACCAGAAAGGGACGGCUAACUACGUG